AUAUUUUUCAGUGCUUCUGGCUUAUGAAGAUGCUGAUUUAGAAAAUGUCCACUGUUUCACAGAGUUUUUGUAUGGCGUGGGAAUCUGGAAAAACCAGUCAAUUCCGGUUCUUCCCAAUCGAAAAAAAUCAGAAUCUACUGAACUAGUAAAAUCUAUGCAUGAUCUAAACCUAAAAGUUCAUGUUUACACUUUUAAAAAUGAUGAUGACCUAGCCUGGAAAUACUUUCAGGAUCCUGCAGAGGAAUUAGAGCAGUUUUAUAAACUUGGUGUUGAUGGAUUUUUCACAGAUUUUCCUCCAACCCUGGCUAGGUUCCUAGAUUGUAAAAAUAUAUGUUAAAGGGUCUGUAAACACAAUUUCAUGUGAUCUUCCAUUCAAAGAGAGCCAUGUCUGACUAACAACGAUACCUUUAAAAGCUUUGUCAGAUCAAAUAUGAAUUAUGAUAUUCAUUUUUAUAAUUUUGAAAACUAAUUAUUUUUAAUUUUGGUUUCUUUACAAAAGUGACUUGCGCAUGUCUAUUUGUAAGUAUACCAGGGAUCGGCUGUAUGAAUAUCAUUGAUCAGAGAAACGUUUCAAUGGUACCGUUGUGUAUCAGGCAUGUCCCUCUCUAUAAAUGAUGGUUCACUUGAAAUUACGCAUUCAGUCCCUUUGAUUGUGCCAUUAUUAGAAAUUCUCCAGUAAACAAAUUGUCUAGUCUAAAUAUUAAUAAAUUAUAAGUUUAUUGAAAUA
This is a long non-coding RNA of Eurytemora carolleeae, 727 nucleotides long. RefSeq lists it as uncharacterized. The record is from RefSeq and is a predicted model, not a curated record. The transcript has 4 exons. Lineage: Eukaryota; Metazoa; Arthropoda; Copepoda; Calanoida; Temoridae.